RNAcentral lists this ribosomal RNA (309 nucleotides) under uncultured soil bacterium. RNAcentral describes it as "bacterial SSU rRNA". It matches the Rfam family "Bacterial small subunit ribosomal RNA", at positions 1082 to 1397 of the family's 1533-position model. The record is from RNAcentral.
AAGUCCCGUAACGAGCGCAACCCUUGUCAUUAGUUGCUACGAAAGGGCACUCUAAUGAGACUGCCGGUGACAAACCGGAGGAAGGUGGGGAUGACGUCAAGUCCUCAUGGCCCUUAUGGGUAGGGCUUCACACGUCAUACAAUGGUACAUACAGAGGGCCGCCAACCCGCGAGGGGGAGCUAAUCCCAGAAAGUGUAUCGUAGUCCGGAUCGCAGUCUGCAACUCGACUGCGUGAAGUUGGAAUCGCUAGUAAUCGCGGAUCAGCAUGUCGCGGUGAAUACGUUCCCGGGUCUUGUACACACCGCCCGU